GAAUGACUGUAUUUGGUGUACUGUCUUUCAGGGUUUCUUUCCAAGUAGAUACAAACCCCUUUGGAUGGUCUAAUUGCUCUAAAUAGAAAGAAAAACAUACAACAUCUUCCUUCACAGUAGAUUUUGGAAUAUCUUCAGGUGUUGCUGUCUGCCAACAUGAAUAAUUGAUGAAUAAUGACAGCUUAAACCAUGAAGCACAGAAAAAUAAAAAAUUUAGGAGUUUAUAACAUGCUACCAUAGCCUCCCCUGUACUCAGACAAAAAUGCAGCCCAUGAGGACAACUAAAACCAUCCUGGAAAAGCCCAGGUGACUGAGCCUCUGCCAUUGCUUAUCUCUUGCAACUGAGGAAGAAGUCUGGAUCUCAAGAAAAGAGCAGAAAAAAACCUGUUUCUUCCCCACGAGCAGAGCCAGAAAAGGUGACCUUUCUGUCAUUCUUAGAAUAUAUAACAUUAAUUUUAACAUCACCAUGCCUCAUCCUGACAACAAGUUUAGAAGAUUAAAGAAGUACUUCACAGAAUGUAUCACUAAUUUUCUUUUUUUCAUUAAAUAAGCAUGAAUAAUAGAAUUUGC
This 570-nucleotide long non-coding RNA is filed under the name Cyanistes caeruleus (blue tit). Its description in RNAcentral is "lncRNA (ENSCCEG00000019337.1)". The record is from RNAcentral. Lineage: Eukaryota; Metazoa; Chordata; Aves; Passeriformes; Paridae.